CCUACGGGGCGCUGCAGUGGGGAAUAUUGGACAAUGGGCGAAAGCCUGAUCCAGCCAUGCCGCGUGUGUGAAGAAGGCCUUCGGGUUGUAAAGCACUUUCAGUGGGGAAGAAAGCCUUGGGGCUAAUACCCUCGAGGAAGGACAUCACCCACAGAAGAAGCACCGGCUAACUCCGUGCCAGCAGCCGCGGUAAUACGGAGGGUGCGAGCGUUAAUCGGAAUUACUGGGCGUAAAGCGCGCGUAGGCGGUCUGAUAAGCCGGUUGUGAAAGCCCCGGGCUCAACCUGGGAACGGCAUCCGGAACUGUCAGGCUAGAGUGCAGGAGAGGAAGGUAGAAUUCCCGGUGUAGCGGUGAAAUGCGUAGAGAUCGGGGGGAAUACCAGUGGCGAAGGCGGCCUUCUGGACUGACACUGACGCUGAGGUGCGAAAGCGUGGGUAGCAAACAGGAUUAGAUACCCUGGUAGUC
RNAcentral lists this ribosomal RNA (465 nucleotides) under Vreelandella stevensii. Its description in RNAcentral is "partial 16S ribosomal RNA". It matches the Rfam family "Bacterial small subunit ribosomal RNA", at positions 338 to 795 of the family's 1533-position model. Lineage: Bacteria; Pseudomonadati; Pseudomonadota; Gammaproteobacteria; Oceanospirillales; Halomonadaceae. The record is from RNAcentral.